ACGGAAGGCAGCAGUGAGGAAUAUUGGUCAAUGGGCGGGAGCCUGAACCAGCCAAGUAGCGUGAGGGAUGACGGCCCUAUGGGUUGUAAACCUCUUUUGACAGGGAAUAAAGUGAGCCACGUGUGGUUCAUUGCAUGUACCUGUGGAAUAAGGAUCGGCUAACUCCGUGCCAGCAGCCGCGGUAAUACGGAGGAUCCGAGCGUUAUCCGGAUUUAUUGGGUUUAAAGGGAGCGUAGGCGGAAGGUCAAGUCAGCUGUGAAAUGUAGACGCUCAACGUCUGCACUGCAGUUGAAACUGGUUUUCUUGAGUGCGUAAGAGGCAGGCGGAAUUCGUCGUGUAGCGGUGAAAUGCUUAGAUAUGACGAAGAACUCCGAUUGCGAAGGCAGCUUGCUGGGCCGCAACUGACGCUGAAGCUCGAAGGUGCGGGUAUCGAACAGGAUUAGAUACCCUGGUA
RNAcentral lists this ribosomal RNA (454 nucleotides) under uncultured Prevotella sp. RNAcentral describes it as "partial 16S ribosomal RNA". It matches the Rfam family "Bacterial small subunit ribosomal RNA", at positions 341 to 792 of the family's 1533-position model. The record is from RNAcentral. Lineage: Bacteria; Pseudomonadati; Bacteroidota; Bacteroidia; Bacteroidales; Prevotellaceae.